GACGAACGCUGGCGGCGUGCCUAACACAUGCAAGUCGAACGGACAGGCCAGGCUUGCAGGGCACUCGCGUGGCGAACGGGCGAGUAAGAAGCGGGUGAUCUGCCCUGCUCUUCGGGUUAAGUCAGGGAAACUGGGUCUAAUAACGGCCAGGAGAUAUAUUUAGUGUGAUGGUUGGAAAGUUUUAUCGGUGUAGGAUGAGCUUGCGGCCUAUCUGCUUGCCGGGGGGGUAAUGGCCUACCAAGGCGGCGACGGGUAGCAGGCCUGAGAGGGUGGACGGCGACAUUGGGACUGAGAGACGGCCCAGACUCCGACUGGGGGCAGCAGUGGGGAAGAUUGCACAAUGGGCGCAGGCCUGAUGCAGCGACGCCGCGGGUGGGAUGACGGCCUUCGUGUUGUAAACUCCUUGCGCUAGUGACGAAGCUUGUUGUGACGGUACCUAGAUAAGAAGCACCGGCUAACUACGUG
RNAcentral lists this ribosomal RNA (465 nucleotides) under uncultured bacterium. RNAcentral describes it as "partial 16S ribosomal RNA". It matches the Rfam family "Bacterial small subunit ribosomal RNA", at positions 28 to 507 of the family's 1533-position model. The record is from RNAcentral.